Molecule: long non-coding RNA, 1823 nt
Filed under: Olea europaea subsp. europaea
Lineage: Eukaryota; Viridiplantae; Streptophyta; Magnoliopsida; Lamiales; Oleaceae
Source: RNAcentral
CAAUUUGAUCUUUUCUGUAUUGAUAUUAGGCUUUUCCAUUUUCAGAUGACUGAAUAGUCCAAAAUCUACAAAGAAUGUAUUAAUCAGAUGCGAGUUUUCAGAACAAGAAUAUGCUAGGUGUGAACAUGGGCUCAAGGCUGCCUAUCUUAUAACCAUUGAUUCAGAUUUCUUUGUUGGUAGAACUUUUUAUCAUUUUAUCCUGCUUUCUUUAAUUCUUGUUUCUUAAUUUAUUUAGAUCCAUUCCCCAUGUUCUGUUAUUUCGUUUGGAAAAAGUUCCCGAUGAUCUAAUCUGUGGUUGCAUUUAUUGUUUCCAAUUCUAUAACCAUAUUAUCAGCUAACACAAUUAGGAAGCCAAAUAUAAUUAUCUGGCCUUGCUUUCAGUUUUAAUAUCAGAACGUCCAUAGCCUAGUAUUGCAGCAAAGCCUUCACAGUAAACAAUGGCUUGUCGUAUGCUAUGAAUAUUGAGAUGUAGCAUUGCAACAGUAGUUUGUAUGUUGUAGAGGAAAAAUAGUUUACCUGAAAAUUAUUGAACUGACUAAUGCCACUUGUUUUGACAAUGACUUGGUGUUAUUGGUCACUUUCAUCAGUUCAUGCAUGUCAGAUCUGUAAUAUCCUAUGUCAAUUUGACUGGAGUGAAGAAACAUGCAUGAGAUGUCGUGCAUUUGAACGCCUUCUAGUUGUGCUAUUUAAGGUUCGUCUGAUAUUUACUGCUACGGUUUUGGCUUAAUCAUGUGAUGUUAGUCUGAGGUAUUUAUUUUCUUAUGAGUUUCCAAGAACAGAACUGGUUGUGCUAUUUUCUCUUGGAUAACUACAGGGUGGGAUAUUUUGUUAACCUGAUUAUGUUUUCUUUUCUGCAAUAUUUUCCUUUUGCCUUCGUUGAAAUUAUGAUAUUUAACAAGUGUAAUUUUACAGUAUGGUUCUCAUAAGUGAUGUUGUCAAUCUGCAUUGCAGGAGAAUCAGUAGAUUCAUGAACUUUUGGAACCCCAUUUACCAUCAGUAUUGCUAUCUCAACAAUCUUCUAUAUCGGCAAGCAUUUGUCACCCACCAGAAUACUUUCUUUUUCUUUUUUUGUUCUUUUUUUUUUACGGGGAAUCCGCAGCGGCUACUCUUCGGAUGCGCACUGGGUAAACCCUUGGGCUGACGCAAUAGUCUGCAAACCAUGCCAUUUAGAUAAACCGCACUAGACAAAUCCGGUGCGAUAGCCUUAACUCAAAAUACUUUCUUUGCUUCUAUAUGAGCUGGUUCAACAUGGUAUAGAUUAGACAUCGGUACACAGGUCAAAUUUCUGUCAAAAUAAAUGAAUCGGACCUGUAUGUGAGAGAGCGUUGUUGGAAAAAGAGAUUCCAAUAAUCGAACGUUCUUUGACUUGUGAUAUUGGAUUCUUGGAGGACGAAAACACCAAUCAGGCAUUUAAUAUUGUGCAACCGUCUAGAGUUGGCAUAUUUGGCUCGACUCUGCAUAGCAAACACCGUGAAAUACCAGUGUCUGUCCUCAGUAAGAUGUUUAUAUGAGGAUCCCAAAUCAAUUCAAGCGGCAGGCUGCACGGAAACUUGAGAUUUUUUGACCCUUGGUGGUGACAAUUCAACAAAUCAAUCCUACAAGCAGGCCAUGAUUAUAUCAAAGCCUCUCAUGGCACCAUGUCAUCAAAAUGAACUUCAUAUUUUCUUAGACAGACAUGAAAAUAGGAUUGGUCAAUGCCUGUAAUCUAUUUAAUUACUCUUGUUUUCGCUAAUCACAGGUACCCAGAAACGUCUUUUCUCAAUAUACUGUGCUAAGAAGCAUUGAUGAUACAAGAAGAAGAGAGCAAGAGAUGAGGCAUUUGC